UUCUGAGUUGUAUUCUCAUGAAUUUCGCAGAUCUAAACAAGUAAACUCUCUCACUUAGCAUGAGAAAUGGGUGGAGGCUUCUUUCAAAAGGCACUGAGGGCAGCAGACAGAGACCUCUGACCCACUCAGAAGCCACUUGAUCCUCACUGUUAGACAACACUAUUUUAGAAAAUUCCUUAUUCUGUUUUCCGACCUGUAAAGCCUGUUACGUCUCAGCUUUACAUGCAUUUCCUUAGGCAUCCUUGUUUGCCACUGUUCCUGACACAACAGUUUCCCUGGAGUGUGGAGAGUGUGGAGGGCAAUCUGGGGCUCUCACUAGCACAGGAAAGCAGCUGAGAUGCUGACUGUGAGCUUCACCUCCAAACUGGUCUCACUGCACAGCUGUUUAACUCCAUAGUGGCUGGCAAGAGUGAUGUAUUUGAUUUUGUUGUUGCCACAGUGUGCAUUACAGCAGCUGUUGUCAAUUGUUGGUUUUAGGAAGGGGCAAAAAGGCCAGGGCCCUUCCCAGCCAAGAGUGGCACAUUUCUGGAGAAAGUAGGUCAGAUUCACCAUAAAGCAUUGUGUGAGAGUUGCUCCUAUCGGGAUUUGUACAGUCGCAUCAGUCACGAACUUCAUGUAAGCUGUAGAUGCCUAUGUGAGGAACUGCACGGAGACCUCAGCAUGAAAAGCAGAAAAGAAUUCUGUUCUGUGAAGGGUUGUCCUAACCAAACUAAUCUCCAUGAGAUGCAAGCAGCUUUCAGCAGGAGACUAGGCAAUAUGUCUCUCACUUCUUACACAUCUGUUAUGUGAUCUUCUCCUUGGAUGGAAAGUGUAGAACACAGUAGAAGAUGGGAUGAUUUUUAUGAGCCAUCUUUGUUAAUUCACCAUCUCUGGGUAUGAACUGAACAAGGUCCUGGGUAUCUGUACACGAGAUAUGGGACUGCAUGAGAUGCGGUAUCUCAGCCCUCUAAACAUCUUCAUGACCUUCAAGGCAUUUUCACCUUCAAGAUAUGACAAGACUGUUGAGAUCCAGGAAGGAACAGGUGACAGACUUCUCAGGCAAGGAAGCAAGUCUGGUCCUCGGAAUGCUACCAAAAUACUUCCAACUAAAAAGAAGGCAAAACACGAAGUCUACUAUUUUAGAGUGGAGGAGUUAUUUAAGAAAUGA
Molecule: long non-coding RNA, 1147 nt
Filed under: Phasianus colchicus (ring-necked pheasant)
Lineage: Eukaryota; Metazoa; Chordata; Aves; Galliformes; Phasianidae
Description: lncRNA (ENSPCLG00000002646.1)
Source: RNAcentral